AGCAUUCCCGCGGGGGAUCAACAAAAACUUACUGCUUUUGCUAGUUUCUGUUUAGGGAAGGCAAUCCGCGCUUUGCGGAAUUGAAAAUAAAGUUCCAAUCUUUUAUUACUUUAUUAGUCAAUUUUUGCAGAAAUCCUCCCAAAAAAAUUUAAGAAAAGCAUGGAAGUGGGCAGAAAAUAUAACUGCAAGAUACUCAGGAACAAGUUUGUCUAAGUAUAGAGAAUUGCCGACCUUAGCAUACCGAUAUAAAAGUUACUACUUUCUUUUUUUUCACUCUUCGUAAUAGAAAAAAAAAAGCAUCCAAAUUGGGUUACAAGUUUAAUUUUACGUCGAAUACUAACAAAAGCGAGUAUAUUUCGCAUAAUAGGUUAUUAAAAAGCACGUGACAGACGAUACUGAACAGAACAUGUUGGUAAGAUGAGUCAUAAGCACGUCAUAAGAAAAAAAGCAUACAAAAUCAUGAUUGAAAGGAUCUUAAAAUAUUU
Zophobas morio is the source of this 485-nucleotide long non-coding RNA. RefSeq lists it as uncharacterized. Lineage: Eukaryota; Metazoa; Arthropoda; Insecta; Coleoptera; Tenebrionidae. The transcript is spliced from 3 exons. The record is from RefSeq and is a predicted model, not a curated record.